GACGAGGGGUGCAAGCGUUAUUCGGAGUAAUUGGGCGUAAAGGGUGCGUAGGCGGUGCAUUAAGUCGACUGUUAAAUUCCCCAGCCUAACUGGGGACCCGCGGUCGAUACUGGUGUGCUUGAGGAUGAAAGAGAGAAGUGGAAUUCUCGGAGUAGCGGUAAAAUGCGUAGAUCUCGAGAGGAACACCAAUGGCGAAGGCAGCUUCUUGGUUCAUUCCUGACGCUGAGGCACGAAAGCGCGGGGAGCAAACAGG
RNAcentral lists this ribosomal RNA (253 nucleotides) under uncultured bacterium. RNAcentral describes it as "partial 16S ribosomal RNA". It matches the Rfam family "Bacterial small subunit ribosomal RNA", at positions 524 to 776 of the family's 1533-position model. The record is from RNAcentral.